Eriocheir sinensis (Chinese mitten crab) is the source of this 378-nucleotide long non-coding RNA. RefSeq lists it as uncharacterized. NCBI's taxonomy places the organism in Eukaryota, Metazoa, Arthropoda, Malacostraca, Decapoda, Varunidae. The record is from RefSeq and is a predicted model, not a curated record. The transcript has 3 exons.
CCUGCCCGGGUUUGUAAUCGGAGUUUGCUCUCCUAGGUGAACUGCUCACGCUAACGACCUUCACCUGCCCGGUUUUAUAAUCGGAGUUUGCUCUCCUAGAUGAACUGCUUUCGCUAACGAGCUCCACCUGCCCGGGUUUAUUGUUCGGAGUUUGCUCUCCUAGGUGUAUUACCUAUGACGGCUCACGAGCCCAACCUGCCCGGGUUUAUUGUUCGGAGUUUGCUCUCCUAGGUGAAUUGCCUACCACGGCUAACGAACCUCACCUGCCCGGGUUUGUUGUUCGGAGUUUGCUCUCCUAGGUGAAUUGCCUACCACGGCUAACGAACCUCACCUGCCCGGGUUUGUUGUUCGGAGUUUGCUCUCCUAGGCAGAUUGCCU